RNAcentral lists this ribosomal RNA (468 nucleotides) under uncultured bacterium. RNAcentral describes it as "partial 16S ribosomal RNA". It matches the Rfam family "Bacterial small subunit ribosomal RNA", at positions 28 to 507 of the family's 1533-position model. The record is from RNAcentral.
GAUGAACGCUGGCGGCGUGCUUAACACAUGCAAGUCGAACGGUGAAGGCGGAGCUUGCUCUGCUGGAUCAGUGGCGAACGGGUGAGUAACACGUGAGCAAUCUGCCCCUGACUCUGGGAUAAGCGCUGGAAACGGCGUCUAAUACUGGAUACGAGCUGCGAAGGCAUCUUCAGCAGCUGGAAAGAACUUCGGUCAGGGAUGAGCUCGCGGCCUAUCAGCUUGUUGGUGAGGUAACGGCUCACCAAGGCGUCGACGGGUAGCCGGCCUGAGAGGGUGACCGGCCACACUGGGACUGAGACACGGCCCAGACGCCUACGGGAGGCAGCAGUGGGGAAUAUUGCACAAUGGGCGAAAGCCUGAUGCAGCAACGCCGCGUGAGGGACGACGGCCUUCGGGUUGUAAACCUCUUUUAGCAGGGAAGAAGCGAAAGUGACGGUACCUGCAGAAAAAGCGCCGGCUAACUACGUG